AUGGUUGCUGAUGAGGGCCACUGCAUAGUGUACGCCUCUGACGGAGAAUGGUUCGAGGUCCCUUUAGUGUACGUUGGGACGACAGUCUUCACCGAGCUUCUCAGGAUGUCCGAGGAGGAGCUUGGUCUCGCCAGCAGCAGCGAUGGAGGCAGGAUCAUGCUGCCAUGCGAUGCCAUGGUUAUGGAGUAUGUCUUGUGCCUGGUAAUAGUACGAAACUAUUUGACAUUUUACAAUUAG
This 237-nucleotide ribosomal RNA is filed under the name Triticum aestivum (bread wheat). RNAcentral's name for it is "partial small subunit ribosomal RNA". Lineage: Eukaryota; Viridiplantae; Streptophyta; Magnoliopsida; Poales; Poaceae. The record is from RNAcentral.